Long non-coding RNA from Patella vulgata (common limpet), 2385 nucleotides. RefSeq lists it as uncharacterized. NCBI's taxonomy places the organism in Eukaryota, Metazoa, Mollusca, Gastropoda, Patellidae. The record is from RefSeq and is a predicted model, not a curated record. The transcript has 4 exons.
AUUUUUAUGCUCUGUCAGGAAAUCGUUGGUGAAACGUUUCAGGUGGGUAUAAAAGCGAAAAACGCUAGUGGUGCGUCAUUCGACGAUUUUACAGAGUACGGCGAAGUGUAGAUGGAUUCAUUGGAAAUUCAGGUUUUUUGAGAAAUGUAUGAGAUUGAUAUCCAAUGCCAAACUUUACAGGCUGCCGUUGGAAGAAUUUCUUUCGGCUUUAUCUUGAUUAAUUCGCAUUACGAGAAAUGAGGCAAGUGAUGAGAAAGGGGUGAAGGUCACUGGUUCUAUUUGCACAAUUCCGGUUCCAGUGUUAUGAAAGUGGUUUGGGUUCGAGACUUUUCCAGAGAACUGAUACCCUGAGGGAAGAGAACGGAAUGGCAGCUAGAGAUGAAGACAGUUGGUAAAUUACAUCAGAUAUUUGAUUGAUUUAAUGCACAGAAAUUUUUGCAAGCUAUCCAUGAUGUUAAGGCAUGUCCAUGUUCCUUCUUGUAAAAUGAUAUUUUACUACAUGUCUACUGAUGCAAUGAUAAAAAAAGACUAAAACAAGUGAGAUUAUCCUGCCCUGACUGUUGCCCAUUUGUUUUUUGGUCUGCAAGAUGUUGCAACUGAUCAUACACAUAUUGGUCUGUUAAUUAUUAUAUCAAGCAUGUUUUCUACCCUAGGUGUUGCUAUUCGGAAUAAACAGAAUAGAUUCUGAAUCGGGAAAGAAUUUAGAAAUGGAUAUGGUAAUCAAAUAACCCUAAAAAUGCAUGGUUCAGAAGUUGAUUGGCCUAGUUUGUGAUAAUCUGUGCAUCGAUCAGUCAAAUACUUGUUCUGAAUUAAAUUUUAAGAUAGAAUAGUUCCUUGAGGCUUUGUUUUCAAAAUAAGUGAUUCUAAAUCUUCGACAUUUUAAGAAUAUUAAAAGUGCCUUUUCCCCAUCAAAAUAGGGGUUAGGAUGGCCGAAUGGUUAGCACUUGCGCACUGUAUCAUAAGGUCGGUCAUUGAGUCAACUGGUGUGGUCGGUUGUACUUGACAAGGAGUAGGGUCGCCUGUCCAACUUUGUGGGUUUUUUCUGGGUACUCCGGUUUCCUCCCACUGCUAAAAGACCCCUACUGGCAAGUAAAUUAUUGAAAUAGAAUUGAACCAUGUGUCAAUCCCAAAAUGACCUAGUUUGUGUUGAGUUGACGUUAACCCCAUUUCUUCCCCUCUUCAAAAAUGUGUUUGCAAUUUAGUAAUUCACAUAACUUAAUAUCCAAUCUUUAAUUUGGAUUGAUUUUCUUUUUUUCAGGAUGGUCAUCUUCAGUACUGUUAAAUAUUACUGCACUCACAUUGUGCUCUUUGCUAUUGUAAGACCUUUUAUGAUCAAAGCCGUUUGUUACAUGGAAAAUCGUGCAAACUUAACAGUAAGCCAAGACUAAGUAUUACAUGUGUGCCUAAAGUCUGUUAGUUCAUAUUCACAAUCGAGAUAAUAAAAUUCAGGGUAAAUAAUUCUCAUUGUGUCUCAACUUCAUGAAUAUGCCCCGGUUGUACGUGACAAGGAGUAGGGUCGCCUGUCCAGCCUCGUGGGUUUUCUCCAGGUCCUCCGGUUACCUCCCACUGCUAAAGACCCCUACGAGCAAGCGAAUUAUUGAAAUAAAAUUAAACCAUAUGUUAGUCCUGAAAUUACCUAGUUUGUGUAGAGUCGACGUUAAACCCCAUUUCUCUCUCUCCAUGAAUAUGAUAGUAAUAGACGUUGGGCAUUAUACUUAGCUUUAGCUUCAGCUUCAGCUUCAUGAUUUUUGGGGGAUUCUCCAAUUUAAAAGUGCCUGUGGUUGUGACAGAAGCUCCAGGGUACACAUAUUUAGGUAACUCCCACUCCAGCAUGCAAUGGAUGGAUUUAUUAAAAAGUAAAGUAGGCCUUUACCUACUAAGUGCCGAAAUGACCUAGUUACUGUGAACUAAAGGUCAUUUAUCUUGUAAAAAGUCAUAACAAUGGUACAUGUAUCUAUCAAUUUAGAUUCCUAUAUACAUGUAGUGUACUGAUUGUACGUGACAAGGAGUAGGGUCGCCUGUCCAACCUGGUGGGUUUUCUCCGAGUCCUCCGGUUUCCUCCCACUGCUAAAGACCCUUACGCGCAAGCAAAUUAUUGAAAUAAAAUUAAACCAUAUGUUAGUCCCGAAAUGACCUAGUUUGUGUCGAGUGGAGUUAAACCCCAUCCCCAAAGUUGCAGCUGAAUUUGUUCAUUCAGUUGAAUGAUUGAGCUUAAGAACAGAGUUAUUUCCCUUGGGUUGUAAUUCAUUUAUAAAAUAGUCAAGAAUGAGCAAUUUAGUUGUUUCUCUGCCACUAUUAUUUAAAAUGGAUAUUUAUAGAUCUGAAGAUGGCUAGUCCUCAAGGAACAUAUUCUAUUGAUAUUUUACAAGAACCAUUUGCUUAAGU